Molecule: unclassified non-coding RNA, 239 nt
Filed under: plant metagenome
Description: partial contains small subunit ribosomal RNA, internal transcribed spacer 1, and 5.8S ribosomal RNA
Rfam family: 5.8S ribosomal RNA (bases 191-239)
Source: RNAcentral
UCUCCGUAGGUGAACCUGCGGAGGGAUCAUUACAGAGUUCAUGCCCUACCGGGUAGAUCUCCCACCCUAUGUUAUUAUUACUUUGUUGCUUUGGCGGGCCGCCGCUUCGGCGUUGGCUCCGGCUGACUGCGCCCGCCAGAGGACCACAACUCUUUUGUUUAGUAAUGUCUGAGUACUAUAUAAUAGUUAAAACUUUCAACAACGGAUCUCUUGGUUCUGGCGUCGAUGAAGAACGCAGC